This is a small nuclear RNA of Artibeus jamaicensis (Jamaican fruit-eating bat), 184 nucleotides long. RefSeq annotates it as U2 spliceosomal RNA. NCBI's taxonomy places the organism in Eukaryota, Metazoa, Chordata, Mammalia, Chiroptera, Phyllostomidae. The transcript has a single exon. The record is from RefSeq and is a predicted model, not a curated record.
AUCACUUCUCGGCCUUUUGGCUAAGAUCAAGUGUAGUAUCUGUUCUUAUUAGUUUAAAAAUGUGUGUUGAGAGGGGAUAUAUGCCUUGAUUAUAUGUCCUUAAAGUCAUUAUUAGCAUGUUUUGCCUCCAAGGAGGAGAAUAGAGUUACUAGGACAGAGAGGUGGGAGGGAGACUUUUCACUAU